AGAGUUUGAUCAUGGCUCAGAAUCAACGCUGGCGGCGUGCCUAACACAUGCAAGUCGAACGCGAUUACCCCGCAAGGGGUGAUUGAGUGGCAAACGGGUGAGUAACGCGUGGGUGACCUACCUCUGAGUGGGGGAUAACGUUUCGAAAGGAACGCUAAUACCGCAUGACAUCCUGUUUUUGGACAGGCGGAGAUCAAAGCCGGGGAUCGCAAGACCUGGCGCUUGGAGAGGGGCCCGCGUCCGAUUAGCUAGUUGGUGAGGUAAUGGCUCACCAAGGCGACGAUCGGUAUCCGGCCUGAGAGGGCGGACGGACACACUGGGACUGAGACACGGCCCAGACUCCUACGGGAGGCAGCAGUGGGGAAUUGUUCGCAAUGGGCGCAAGCCUGACGACGCAACGCCGCGUGGAGGAUGAAGGUCUUCGGAUUGUAAACUCCUGUUGAUCGGGACGAACAUUCAUCGGGCUAAUACCCCGGAGAACUGACGGUACCGAUUGAGGAAGCCCCGGCUAACUCUGUGCCAGCAGCCGCGGUAAUACAGAGGGGGCAAGCGUUGUUCGGAAUUACUGGGCGUAAAGGGCGCGUAGGCGGCCGCCUAAGUCAGACGUGAAAUCCCUCGGCUCAACCGGGGAACUGCGUCUGAUACUGGGUGGCUUGAAUUCGGGAGAGGGAUGCGGAAUUCCAGGUGUAGCGGUGAAAUGCGUAGAUAUCUGGAGGAACACCGGUGGCGAAGGCGGCAUCCUGGACCGACAUUGACGCUGAGGCGCGAAAGCCAGGGGAGCAAACGGGAUUAGAUACCCUAGUAGUCC
This 808-nucleotide ribosomal RNA is filed under the name uncultured bacterium. RNAcentral describes it as "bacterial SSU rRNA". It matches the Rfam family "Bacterial small subunit ribosomal RNA", at positions 8 to 796 of the family's 1533-position model. The record is from RNAcentral.